This 29-nucleotide non-coding RNA is filed under the name Rattus norvegicus (Norway rat). Lineage: Eukaryota; Metazoa; Chordata; Mammalia; Rodentia; Muridae. The record is from RNAcentral.
UCACUGCAGAGACACACUGUACUCCUUGA